AAGUCGUAACAAGGUUUCCGUAGGUGAACCUGCGGAAGGAUCAUCAACAAAUCUAUAAUGUUGGGUGUAAAAGCCCAACAAAUACCAAUGUGAAUUGGGAGGGCAACCUCUCUAGGCCAAUUUUUUGGCCAAGUAUACUAGACCAGAGUCGGAUAAGUAAAAAUAAUAUAAACAACUUUUAACAAUGGAUCUCUUGGCUCUU
Molecule: unclassified non-coding RNA, 202 nt
Filed under: fungal sp.
Lineage: Eukaryota; Fungi
Description: partial internal transcribed spacer region
Rfam family: Eukaryotic small subunit ribosomal RNA (bases 1-46)
Source: RNAcentral